ACGAUGAAGAGUUUGAUCCUGGCUCAGGAUGAACGCUAGCGGCAGGCCUAACACAUGCAAGUCGAGGGGUAACAUGGUAGCUUGCUACCGAUGACGACCGGCGCACGGGUGCGCAACGCGUAUACAAUCUGCCCCCUACUGUGGGAUAGCCCAGAGAAAUUUGGAUUAAUACCACAUGGUACCAUAUUACGGCAUCGUAUUUAUGGUUAAAGGUUACGGUAGGGGAUGAGUAUGCGUCCCAUUAGUUAGUUGGUGAGGUAACGGCUCACCAAGACCGCGAUGGGUAGGGGCCCUGAGAGGGGGAUCCCCCACACUGGUACUGAGACACGGACCAGACUCCUACGGGAGGCAGCAGUGAGGAAUAUUGGACAAUGGGCGGGAGCCUGAUCCAGCCAUGCCGCGUGCAGGAAGAAUGCCCUAUGGGUAGUAAACUGCUUUUAUACGGGAAGAAAAAGGGCUACGUGUAGCC
Molecule: ribosomal RNA, 469 nt
Filed under: Zobellia galactanivorans
Lineage: Bacteria; Pseudomonadati; Bacteroidota; Flavobacteriia; Flavobacteriales; Flavobacteriaceae
Description: bacterial SSU rRNA
Rfam family: Bacterial small subunit ribosomal RNA
Source: RNAcentral